AUUCCGGUUGAUCCUGCCGGAGGCCAUUGCUAUCGGAGUCCGAUUUAGCCAUGCUAGUCGAGCGAGGUUAGCCCUCGCGGCGAACAGCUCAGUAACACGUGGCCAAGCUACCCUGCAGAGGGGGACAGCGUCGGGAAACUGACGGGAAUCCCCCAUACCGGUCUCACGCUGGAAUGCCGAGACCGACAAACGCUCCGGCGCUGCAGGAUGCGGCUGCGGCCGAUUAGG
This 228-nucleotide ribosomal RNA is filed under the name Natronomonas sp. RNAcentral describes it as "partial 16S ribosomal RNA". It matches the Rfam family "Archaeal small subunit ribosomal RNA", at positions 1 to 229 of the family's 1478-position model. The record is from RNAcentral. Lineage: Archaea; Methanobacteriati; Methanobacteriota; Halobacteria; Halobacteriales; Natronomonadaceae.